This 72-nucleotide transfer RNA is filed under the name bacterium. RNAcentral describes it as "tRNA-Arg". It matches the Rfam family "tRNA". Rfam says of the family: Transfer RNA (tRNA) molecules are approximately 80 nucleotides in length. Their secondary structure includes four short double-helical elements and three loops (D, anti-codon, and T loops). The record is from RNAcentral.
GCGCUCAUAGCUCAAUGGUUAGAGCACGGGCCUCCGAAGCUCGGGAUUGUGGUUCGAUUCCACAUGAGCGCA